Molecule: ribosomal RNA, 327 nt
Filed under: uncultured eukaryote
Lineage: Eukaryota
Description: partial 18S ribosomal RNA
Rfam family: Eukaryotic small subunit ribosomal RNA
Source: RNAcentral
CCCUUAGAUGUUCUGGGCUGCACGCGCGCUACACUGGUGCGUUCAGCGAGUUUAGCACCUUAACAGAUAUGUUUGGGUAAUCUUCUGAAAACGCACCGUGAUGGGGAUCGAUUAUUGUAAUUAUUAAUCGUCAACGAGGAAUUCCUAGUAAGUGUGAAUCAUCAGUUCGCGCUGAUUACGUCCCUGCCCUUUGUACACACCGCCCGUCGCACCUACCGAUUGAAUGGUUCGGUGAAGAUCUCGGACUUCGAUAUUUAUUCUUUAUUGAGUUUAUAUUGUGGGAAGUUAUCUAAACCUCAUCAUUUAGAGGAAGGUGAAGUCGUAACA